This 1025-nucleotide small RNA is filed under the name Pan troglodytes (chimpanzee). RNAcentral describes it as "processed transcript". Lineage: Eukaryota; Metazoa; Chordata; Mammalia; Primates; Hominidae. The record is from RNAcentral.
GUCCCCGUCUCGGAGACUGCAGACUAAACCAGUCAUUACUUGUUUCAAGAGCGUUCUGCUAAUCUACACUUUUAUUUUCUGGGUGAGAGACGAAGGCGCCUGGGGCCGGCAGGGGAUCCCGGGCUUUUAGUUGUGGGGGGUGUGACCCUGAGCGGCGGGAGCUCAGGUCGGGAACGGUGUGGGGUUUGGGCGGCCAUCGCGCCUGGGACCCCGACGCCGGCGACCAGUGACUGGGCCCCGAACAAAGAGCUCAGGCAUCUCGCCGGCGCUGGGGUCGGAGUGCGGGACGAAGGCAGCCGACAGGCUGAGCUGGGACCCAGACGUACCAGCGUUCGAGUUCGAUACGGGAGGCGAGGUGGGGCCUUAAGCCCCCAGAGCACGCAGACGGUGACCCUGGACCUUUGCAAAGGCAAGCAAGGCUUGCCCGGCCCCUUUGAGGGCUCACUUGCAUAAUAGUGUCUUUCUUUUCACUGCUUCGUAAGAGAGGAGUGUUUCGCAGAUCACUGGCGUUAUCCUUCUUGCAGUUGGCAUUUGGGGCAAGGUGAGCCUGGAGAAUUACUUUUCUCUUUUAAAUGAGAAGGCCACCAAUGUCCCCUUCGUGCUCAUUGCUACUGGUACCGUCAUUAUUCUUUUGGGCACCUUUGGUUGUUUUGCUACCUGCCGAGCUUCUGCAUGGAUGCUAAAACUGUAUGCAAUGUUUCUGACUCUCGUUUUUUUGGUCGAACUGGUCGCUGCCAUCGUAGGAUUUGUUUUCAGACAUGAGAUUAAGAACAGCUUUAAGAAUAAUUAUGAGAAGGCUUUGAAGCAGUAUAACUCUACAGGAGAUUAUAGAAGCCAUGCAGUAGACAAGAUCCAAAAUACGUUGCAUUGUUGUGGUGUCACCGAUUAUAGAGAUUGGACAGAUACUAAUUAUUACUCAGAAAAAGGAUUUCCUAAGAGUUGCUGUAAACUUGAAGAUUGUACUCCACAGAGAGAUGCAGACAAAGUAAACAAUGAAGGUUGUUUUAUAAAGGUGAUGACCAUUA